UCUCUUUUUAUUAACUUCUUAUUCAUGCCUGUACCCCGUUCGACUCCCAAAAAGGAAAAAAAAAAAGAAAACAGUUUCUCAUUGAAGAAACAAAUGGGACUGAAGAUGGCAAUCUCUUCCAGAUUUUCAGCUACAAGUACUCACCCUCCUCUUCUAUCUGCGCUUCCAUUUUCACACCUAUGUCCCUCCCAUGAUCUCACCUCUGGUUCCCAACCAAGAUCUAGAUGAUGUGGUGUCACUUGCGAAAUCACCCAAACGGGAACAAGCAACAAGAGAAGAGUUUAUUAAAGUGAAUGGGCGAUCUUGGUCAUGAAAGGUAAGCGCUCCCCCUCUGUCUCUACCGUUUGGGUUGAUUAGCUAGAUGGCGUUAAUUAGGCAGACUCCCACCAGAUAGGCAGAUACGAUUACAUAGAUUAAGGAUCAUCCAAACAUAAGAGUCCAAUCCCUCUCUGUCUCUGUCUGUCUGUCUCUCUCUCUCUCUCUCUCUCUCUCACCCCCGCACCGUCAAUCGUAAUUGGAGGAAUGCCAAUUUCUGUUAUAAACCAACAGGCUGAUGGGUUCUUUACUGCAGUCCAUAGCCCCGUCUACGCGUAUAGGGAUCCCUCCCUUUGGUCUGAUCUCUCAAUGGUGUUUCUCUCUUUUCCACACCCCCAUAUAUUGGCUGGUGAUUUCAAUUGCAUGCUUUUUCACAGCCGGCUCAAACCAAGCCGUGGCCUCCUCCUCUUCAAUGCAGGCUUUUCAAGAGUUUGUUAUGGGGGAAGGGAAAGCCCCUCUAAACUGAAUUUAUUGUUACACUAAUACUAGGCUUCUCCUAUUUCUUUUCUUUUUUCUGGUGUGAUCUUGUACCUGGUUUAUCUUCCAACAACUUGUUGGUUGUUUGGUCUUGCUCUGUGUAAUGUUUAUUUGAAAAGAAGAUUUAGAGGCGUUAUGGAGGGAAGGCGCCCUUGCCCUGCGCAGUGGAUUGUGGUUGAGUUUCUUGCCGCCCACAGGUGAAGCUAGCGAAGGUGCGGUACUGCAGUAUAAUGGGGACUCUAGAACUAGAAGGAAUGUUUUUGCUCCUAUCAGAGAAAGUUGUAGAGUUAAUCUGACCCAGGGUCAGGAAACCUUGUGUUGGCAAAAUAGCAACUCUCCAAUCAAAUCCAGGAUCCAAAUUUGGGAGAGGAUUCGGAUGAAGAGUACAAUAGUCAAUUGGAGGAAGAAAAUCUGGCCUGGCUGUUAGGUAGUCGAUAUUGGUAGGUUUUGGAGGCUUCUUACGAAAGUUGGGGUGCAGCAGAUGUAUUCACUGUGAUCUCCGAGGGCCCUGUGGUGGCACUCUUUCUUAAACAAAAAUCUUCCGGAAGACAAGCGUUUUGGCCUAAACUUGGCCUCGAUCUGUUUCCAACGUAAAAAACAUGUAGAAACUCAAGACCAUGUGCUGUUGAAUUGCCCCUCUGGCCUUUGCUGCUAAUAUCUGGGCUUAUGUGAUGGAUGGUUUGGCAUCGGUCGGAAGCCGGUUAGGGCCAUUUGUGCAGAGCUGGUGUGGUAUUUUAACAAAAGCCUUGCUUGGCAAAGAGAGGAAGAAAUGUUGGGGUCUGGUUUUUUUAAUAUUGUAAUGUGAAAAAUAUGGUGUUUUAGAAAUUAGGCCAAACAUCAGAAUGUGUGGAGGAAGUCGAGAGAGGCAAAAAGAGGUUUGGCAUGCUUGUGUUGAAGUGAUAUUAAAGCAAGAUUGGCCUUUGGAUGGUGAGUGAUCAAUUAAGGUGUGGCUGCGCAAUACUAUUUUUACUCCUUGUUGGCUCGUUAAGGAUUUGUCAGGCUGGAUCAUUCAAAUUGGCCUUCAUGAAAAAGAAGCAAAGAAGAUUCUUUUUAAAGAUGGUUUGUUGAAAGGGAGGAAACUCUUGGUGGACAAUCAUAGCAGGGCCAUUCCGGAAACAGUUCACUUGACUUGGGUGCUUCAUGAGAUAGCUGAGGAAAGUUCUUGUAUAUUCUUGAAAUCUAAGGGUGUGGCAUGGAAAUCUUGGUUCCAGAAAAUUGCAACGGGCCAUCAUUUGCCUGCUCACAUUGAGGUAGUCUCUGGUUUUUCUAGGUGGAUUCAGAACAGCAUUCCCUGUAAUGGUUUCUUUUCUGUAGAAGUUGUAUCCUUGCUCUCUGGGCAAGUGGGAUGGGUGGGCUGAUUGUCCGUGCUGCCGAUAUAGACUCAUUUGUUCAUUCUUUUAGCUUCAAUGGAAUAGGGGUGAUCCCCCAGCUCUGUUUCUGCUUAAAAACAGUUGAAGCUGGCGAGGCCCGACUGAAACAUUGAGUUGAGAUAGUCUUGAUGUUGGUCAUAAAGUCCCUUUACUGCAUAUGAAAUAUACAGGAAAAGCUUAUGAGUCUCA
Molecule: long non-coding RNA, 2351 nt
Organism: Nymphaea colorata (pocket water lily)
Lineage: Eukaryota; Viridiplantae; Streptophyta; Magnoliopsida; Nymphaeales; Nymphaeaceae
Exons: 2
Source: RefSeq, a predicted model, not a curated record